UGUGUACCCACAGAGGAAAGACCAUGUGAGGACACAGCAAGAAGGUGGCCAUCUGCAAGCCAAGAAGAGAGGCUUCUGGAGAAACCAAACCUGCUGACCCCUUGAUCUUGGACUCUAGCCUCCAGAACUAGGAUAAUAUUAAUAUCCCAAGUGUCCAGAGGGAGAAGGUUAACACACCAGUACGGAAAUGAGCUGGAUGCUGACUGAUGUACAAAAAUAUCAAAGCUUCUUUUAAGGUGCCAAGCAGUCCUCCAGGCUGCAGAGAAAGCUGUUCUGUGAGAUCUGCUUCCGCUUUAGGGUGUGGUGGAUAGCAGAAAAGAACAGGAAGGAAAUUUCCAACAGACAACAGAAUCUCUUACGGCUGGCACCCAGAACGUACCAUUUGCAUCCCUUUCCUGACACACUACUGACAGCUUGGCACAGUUGAUGUCUGAAGAGAUACUGAGAGGCCAGCUCCUUAAAUGUUAACAUUUGGAAUCUUUUCCUGCUGAGCCUUGAACAGUCACUUAAGCACAUGGAGUCUAACUGAAUACUUUUUGCCUGGUUUGAGUAUCAGUGAAAACAAGG
This is a long non-coding RNA of Neofelis nebulosa (Clouded leopard), 567 nucleotides long. RefSeq lists it as uncharacterized. The transcript has 5 exons. The record is from RefSeq and is a predicted model, not a curated record. Lineage: Eukaryota; Metazoa; Chordata; Mammalia; Carnivora; Felidae.